AUACGAAGGGGGCUAGCGUUGUUCGGAAUUACUGGGCGUAAAGCGCAUGUAGGCGGACAUUUAAGUCAGGGGUGAAAUCCCGGGGCUCAACCUCGGAACUGCCUUUGAUACUGGGUGUCUAGAGUGUGGAAGACCCGGUAAGUGGAAUUCCGAGUGUAGAGGUGAAAUUCGUAGAUAUUCGGAGGAACACCAGUGGCGAAGGCGGCUUACUGGUCCAUUACUGACGCUGAGGUGCGAAAGCGUGGGGAGC
RNAcentral lists this ribosomal RNA (250 nucleotides) under uncultured bacterium. RNAcentral's name for it is "partial 16S ribosomal RNA". It matches the Rfam family "Bacterial small subunit ribosomal RNA", at positions 523 to 769 of the family's 1533-position model. The record is from RNAcentral.